This 253-nucleotide ribosomal RNA is filed under the name uncultured Kofleria sp. RNAcentral describes it as "partial 16S ribosomal RNA". It matches the Rfam family "Bacterial small subunit ribosomal RNA", at positions 524 to 776 of the family's 1533-position model. The record is from RNAcentral. Lineage: Bacteria; Pseudomonadati; Myxococcota; Haliangiales; Kofleriaceae.
UACGGAGGGUGCAAACGUUGCUCGGAAUCAUUGGGCGUAAAGCGCACGUAGGCGGUUCGGCAAGUCGCGUGUGAAAGCCCUCGGCUCAACCGAGGAAGUGCAUGCGAAACUACCGGACUUGAGUACUGGAGAGGACGACGGAAUUCCCGGUGUAGAGGUGAAAUUCGUAGAUAUCGGGAGGAACACCAGCGGCGAAGGCGGUCGUCUGGACAGAUACUGACGCUGAGGUGCGAAAGCGUGGGGAGCAAACAGG